Long non-coding RNA from Clupea harengus (Atlantic herring), 1230 nucleotides. Lineage: Eukaryota; Metazoa; Chordata; Actinopteri; Clupeiformes; Clupeidae. The record is from Ensembl.
GUAGUAGUAGCAGUAGCAGUAGCAGUAGCAGUAGCAGUAGUAGUAGUAGUAGCAGCAGUAGUAGUAGUAGUAAUAGUAGUAGUAGCAGUAGUAGUAGCUGUAGCAGUAAUAGUAGUAGUAGCAGUGGUAGUAGUAGUAGCAGUAGUAGUAGUAGCAGUAGUAGUAGUAGUAGUAUCAAUAGUAGUAGCAGUAGUAGUAGUAGUAGUAUUAGUAAUAGUAAUAUAAAUAGUAGUAACCAUAUAAUAAUAAUUAUUAUUAACAACACUCUCAAGGGAAUUGAUGGCAAAGAGAUAAUGUUGCCUUGCAAGGCCAGCAAUGUCAUGUGUCACGACAGAAGGGAAUAGUACAAUUCUUUUUCUUUUUUUUUGUCUUCUUCAAAUUCUCCACACACAGUUAUCACUUACUGAGCACUUUCCCUUCAACAAAUGACUGUGCCCCAAAAAAAAACAGGCCCAUUGUGUCCAGAGCUAAACCAGGUAAAAGUGCCCUUUGUCCACGUAAGCAAUCCCAGUAAGCUACCGUGGCUGCUGGUGCUGCUUCUGCUGCUGGUGGUGCUGCUUCUGCUGCUGGUGGUGCUGCUUCUGCUGGUGGCGAUGCUUCUCUGGGCCCCCAUCCCCAUCCCUCUCCUGCUCCCCUCCUUCCUGGCUCAAAUGUGUGCGCUGGACGACUGCUGUGGCAGAAUCCCUCUGACUCAAAGCCAAGGGAGAAGGUUUUUUUUUUUUUUUUUUACACACGAGCUCUUGUCAUACAGAUUGUAUCCCACCAGAAGCCUUGGGUCCCCACCGGAGUUCUCUCCCACCCUAUCCUCCUGGCUUCCCCCAAGGCCUCUGUGUGGUUCUGACGGGCCUGAACAUCUGGCCCGUGUGACUGGCAGAGGGAGAGUCCGAGGGGUCUGCAGAUGGACCUUGGGAAAUCUCUGAAAAGUCCUUCAGUAUUGGUGCAGUUUAGAGGAAAGUGCUGAUGGCAUCGGGGCUGGCUACUGUAGCAGGGCUUCAAACUCCCAUUCAGCAGUUAGUUUCUAAUAAGUUCCUUUAAGUCGUUUCAGGAGAAAUUUACUGUGACAGAAUCAAACCCUCCUUCCUUCGCUGUGAAAUGUGUAAACACAACGCAAAUGCAGAGGUUUGUUGAUUCAGCCGUUUUUCUGUGUGUGUGUGUGUAGUUAUGUGUGCACAUUUUUGUGUGUGUGAGUAUUUCUGUGAGAGUGUGUGUGUGUGUGUGUGUGUGUGUGUG